This 93-nucleotide transfer RNA is filed under the name Ustilaginoidea virens. It matches the Rfam family "tRNA". Rfam says of the family: Transfer RNA (tRNA) molecules are approximately 80 nucleotides in length. Their secondary structure includes four short double-helical elements and three loops (D, anti-codon, and T loops). Lineage: Eukaryota; Fungi; Ascomycota; Sordariomycetes; Hypocreales; Clavicipitaceae. The record is from Rfam by way of RNAcentral.
UCCGAUGUGGUGUAGUGGCUAUCAUACUGCGCUUUCAUGGCUGCCAAGCGAGGAAGUGCCGCAGGGAUCGGGGUUCGAUUCCCCGCAUCGGAG